This is a long non-coding RNA of Schistocerca gregaria, 2000 nucleotides long. RefSeq lists it as uncharacterized. NCBI's taxonomy places the organism in Eukaryota, Metazoa, Arthropoda, Insecta, Orthoptera, Acrididae. The transcript has 4 exons. The record is from RefSeq and is a predicted model, not a curated record.
AGUAGUAGUGUAGUAGCGCCGAGCAGGCUCCAGUCAGCAACCGGCCGCGAACAGCGACGGAAGGCCUGCCAACCGUGGCGAACCAACCAACUAGAAACAGUCGCGAAUCCUGCGCUCGCGUGCUUCGGACUGUUUACCUUCUGACGACAACUUGUGCGUGUUGCGUGACCUCCUGCCGGUGCUGAAAUAGCCUUCGUGUGCCGUGCUUGAUCACUCCCACACCCCCCUACUUACGUCAUCAACUUUUUUUUUUUUUUUUUUUUCUUGUAAAACGUUUGACAAUUUAGCGCUGGUCUUCCCUCCGGCUGGCGAACAGUUGACUGCCGAGACCGAGGUCAGGGAAUCCCUCCUGUACGUGCUAAAAACUCCGAACUUACUCCUCGGGCACAGUAGCUAGUGCAAUAGGCCAUGUGCGUACAUCGCUCCAAUAUUUUCGUUUGAGAGCGUAAUUCCCAUAGGACGCUGACAAUAAGGUUUUCGGCCAUUUCUGAAUCAGUCGCUUGUCGCGAUGGGCGUGCCGGCAUUCUGCAGCGCGUGACGGAGGGUGGUUUCGCUCGCAGACCACGUGGUCUCCCGGCGGCGUUUCGCUUUGCGCACAGACGCGGAAUUUGCGCUCCUGAGGGCUUUCGCACGCCGUUCGCUGCCUCAUGCUGACCACGGGCGACGUGUUUCCCGGCGUCCACGCCACCUCGAGACGGGCCCGAAACAUCUGACUGCGCUGUCACCGUGCGCCGAAAGGCCGCAACUUGAGCAGGAAACGGAAAAGGAGGAAACGGGCACCCUCCUAGCCGUAGAGAGAGCAGACUGAAUCUGUGAUUUCGCCCCCCACUCGCCGUUAACGUCCGAAGACAAACGCCAACUGCCCAAAUAAACAAAAAAAAACCAAAACAAAGCAGGUACAGACUGGCUGCGAAGCACAGGUGAAGAAAAAGAACCACCACAGUACUGAUUUCAAAAAUAAAUAAACUCUUAACGCCAGAAGCACUCACCGAGAAGGAAAAUCAAAGUGGCUUACGAACAUAUCUUCCAAACAGAACGCCGACCAUUUCGAAGGCGGUAGUUUUUUUUGUCUCUUGCUCACCAUUUUUUUCCUCCAAAAAAAGAAAUUCUAAACUAGAUAAGGCAAGUAAAUUAGUCUUACAUAGAAAUUGUUAGGCGUCAAGAAGUAGUGUAGCUACAGAAAUCUAGCAAAACAAAAAAGUAAAAUUUGUAAAAGUACACGAUUCCAUUAAAACAUUUUUCUGCUAGAAGUAUCACUGAGGAAGACAAUUUUCUAUAAACUUCUUACUAGGACUAAGGGAUAGACUCUUCGAAUGCUUUUUCUAGCGUAUCACGAAGUGUGUGAGUGAUAACAACCCAGCUACUUUUUUUUUUCUUACAAGCGAGUAAAAUUCGAGUGUCUUAGACUGAGCGAUAUUCGCUUGAGUUCGAAGUGGCUGAGACUGAACCUGGGAGCACUGACUGUGUGCAACUCUUGUCAAACACACUGACCCAAUGUCCUGAUAGUGGGAUUCACCGCGAUCCUACAGACUUCUUCCUUCUUCUCUUCUUCAUCUUCUUCUUCUUCUCUUCCUGCCCGAAAACGGGCUCGUUUCCUGCCGCUGUCAAAGAAAAACUGAAAAUUUCGUCCGCAAAGAUCUACGUGGCACGCUGGCGACGGCGGAAAGGCUGCGCCUUCCUGACCUACUACCACCGGGACAGCGCCGUCAACGCACAGGCCGCGCUCCAUGACACGCGGACGCUACCAGGGGGCAAGCAAUGUGCGAGGCGGUUCAGAGCGGACGCCCUCCACCCUACAACUUCAAAUCACCAACUAACCAAGUGGUUUUGUGCCGGUAAGCACAGCCAUUGUUAUAAGGACCACAUGGGGUGAGGCGUGGGCGGUGCUGCCCCCGCUAUGGGGCGUGUUUGUGUGGAGUCACCAGCCGGUGGCAAGGGCAAGGAGCCGCGAUGCCACCGCGUCAUCGGCUGCCGCGUCGUCAGGCUCUGCAAGGUGAGUA